This 65-nucleotide transfer RNA is filed under the name Acidobacteriota bacterium. Its description in RNAcentral is "tRNA-Thr". Lineage: Bacteria; Pseudomonadati; Acidobacteriota. The record is from RNAcentral.
GCCGCGUCAGGUAGGGGCUCUCACUCGUAAUGAUGGGGUCCGCGGUUCGAAUCCGCGCGUCGGCU